Loxodonta africana (African savanna elephant) is the source of this 107-nucleotide small nuclear RNA. The record is from Ensembl. NCBI's taxonomy places the organism in Eukaryota, Metazoa, Chordata, Mammalia, Proboscidea, Elephantidae.
GCGCUCACUUUGGCAGCACAUAUACUAAAAUUGGAACAAUACAGAGAAGAUGAGCACGGCCCCUAAGCAAGGAUGACAUGCAAAUUCGUGAAGCGUUCCAUGUUAAA